This is a long non-coding RNA of Erinaceus europaeus (western European hedgehog), 2090 nucleotides long. RefSeq lists it as uncharacterized. Lineage: Eukaryota; Metazoa; Chordata; Mammalia; Eulipotyphla; Erinaceidae. The transcript has 2 exons. The record is from RefSeq and is a predicted model, not a curated record.
CACACUGCCACUCCUACACCCCCUGCUGCCUCUUCCCAGAAAGCGGGGGGGCUGCCUGCCCCAGAAGCCUGGAUGACUGAUUAGAAAUCUGGGAAUGAUUGUUCUGGAUAACUCCCUCCCUCUGGAUGAGACCACAUCAAUCAGUGCCUUGGCUGCAGUGCAUCCCCUCUGUUAACAGUCUUGGCCUUGCAUAGGCUUCCCUUCUGCCAGGCCUAACUAAACCUCUGUCCAGUGGCCUCCGCCCCUGCCUGCAUUCUGUCUGCAACUGGGGAGGGUUCAGGGAGACUGGGAGGAUCACUGGAGCACAGUGGUCCUCAAUGGGGGGGUGUUUUGCACCCCAGGAGACAUCUGAAAAUUCUGAAGAUUUUGUGUGUGUGUGUGUGUGUGUAUGUGUGUGCUUUGAUGGGGAGAAUAUGCUACUGGCAUCUAGUUGGUUGAGAGCAGGGAUACUGCUCAACACAGGAGUGUCCACCACAAAGAAGUCUCUUGGUCAGGGAGCCACUAGUGCGGGUUAAGGAGUCCUGCUGCUUGGUUGGUUGCCUGGCUCUCAGGAGUGUGUGGUGUGAGGAUGAAAGAUGGGACAUGAAAAAUAAGACUUCAGAGAGACUCUUAUGCCUGAGGCUCCGAAGUCCCAGGUUCAAUCCCCUGCACUACCAUAAGUCAUAAGCAGAGCUGGUGUUAAAAAUAAAAAAAAAAAAAAAAGACUUCUCACUAAUCAUAAGGGCCUAGGCCCAGAAGGAAUCCUAGCUCUCAACUUGCCCAGUGGUUUUCAGCUGGGCACUUGGAGAAUCCAGGACAAGUUUCUUAACCAGAUGCCUAUCUAUACCACCUAGGUAACUUUAUUUAUAGCUUUUUUAAAAAAAUUAUCUUUAUUGUGGUCUGGGAGGUGGCACAAUGGUAAAGCUUUGGACUCUCAAGCAUGAGGUCCUGAGUUCGAUCCCCGGCAGCACAUGUGCCAGAGUGAUGUCUGGUUCUCUCUCUUUCCUCCUUUCUCAUAAAUAAAUAAAAUCUUUAAAAAAGUAUCUUUAUUUACUGGAUAGAGACAGCCAGAAAUUGAAAGGGAAGAGGGAGAUACACCUGCAGAGAGACACCUGCAGCCCUGCUUUACCACUCGCAAAGCUUUCCUCCUGCAGGUGGGGACCAAGGACUUGAACCUAGGUCCUUGUGCAUUAUAGCAUUCAUGACCAAGUAGGUGCUCCACCACCUGGCUCCAUGACUUUAUUUAUUUAAGAUUUAUGUAAGAGAGAGAGAGAAGGAGAGAGAGAACCACAGCAUCAUUCUAGUAUUCCAUCCAGGAAUCUAAUUCUAUACUUUAUGCUUAACAGUACUUAUGUGUUACCUCCUGGGCUGCACCUGGGUGAUUUUAAAAACAGGUGAGAGGCCAGGCAAUGGCACACGUCACCAUGUGCAAGGAACUGGGCUCAAGUUCUCGAUCCCCAUCUGCAGGGUGGAAGUUUCAGGAGUGGUGGUGAAGCAUGUCUGCAGUUCUCUCUCUCUCUCUCUCUCUCUCACUCUCCCUCUCUGUCUCCCCCCUUCCCUCUCAAUCACUCUUCUACCUAAAAAUAAAAUUAGAAAACUACUGUGGUGGGUCAGCGAAAUAACUCAUUAGGCCAGCGAAGUAGCAUACUUUUGGACAGUGCAUUGCUUCCCAUGUGCAAGACCCAGUUUCAAACCUGGCCCCUACCACAUUGAAGGAAGCUGCAGUGCUAUGAUUAUUCUCUGACUUUUCUGUUUCUAUUUAAAAAACAUGAUUAAACAACAACAAAAAAAAACUAUCAAACACACACACACACAUACACACAAUCAAGGCAGUGACCCAGAAGGUGGCACAGUGGGUAAAGCUUUGGAAUCUCAAGCAUGAGGUCCUGAGUUCAGUUUCUGGAAUUGCAUAUAUCAGAGUGAUGUUCUCAUCUGUCUGUCUCAUUUAUAAAUAAAUCUGUGGUCUGGGAGGUGGCACAGUGGAUAAAGCCCUGAGUUCUCAAGCAUGAGGUCCCUAGUUCAAUCCCCAGCAGCACAUGUGCCAGAGUGAUGUCUGGUUCUUUCUCUCUCUUCUCCUAUCUUUCUCAUAAAUAAAUAAAUAAAAUCUUUUU